This 449-nucleotide ribosomal RNA is filed under the name uncultured bacterium. Its description in RNAcentral is "bacterial SSU rRNA". It matches the Rfam family "Bacterial small subunit ribosomal RNA", at positions 329 to 795 of the family's 1533-position model. The record is from RNAcentral.
UUCCAGACUCCUACGGGAGGCAGCAGUGGGGAAUAUUGCACAAUGGGGGGAACCCUGAUGCAGCGACGCCGCGUGGGUGAAGGAGCACCUCGGUGCGUAAAGCCCUAUCGGCAGGGAAGAAACAGACGGUACCUGACUAAGAAGCCCCGGCUAACUACGUGCCAGCAGCCGCGGUAAUACGUAGGGGGCAAGCGUUAUCCGGAUUCACUGGGUGUAAAGGGAGCGUAGACGGCGACGCAAGUCUGGAGUGAAAGCCCGGGGCCCAACCCCGGAACUGCAUUGGAAACUGUAUUUCUAGAGUGUCGGAGGGGCAAGUGGAAUUCCUGGUGUAGCGGUGAAAUGCGUAGAUAUCAGGAGGAACACCAGUGGCGAAGGCGGCGUGCUGGACGAUGACUGACGUUGAGGCUCGAAAGCGUGGGGAGCAAACAGGAUUAGAUACCCCCGUAUUC